UAUUGGACAAUGGGGGGAACCCUGAUCCAGCGACGCCGCGUGAGUGAAGAAGUAUCUCGGUAUGUAAAGCUCUAUCAGCAGGGAAGAAAGAAAUGACGGUACCUGAGUAAGAAGCCCCGGCUAACUAAGUGCCAGCAGCCGCGGUAAUACGUAGGGGGCAAGCGUUAUCCGGAAUUACUGGGUGUAAAGGGAGCGUAGGCGGUUCAGCAAGUCAGAAGUGAAAGCCCGGGGCUCAACUCCGGGACUGCUUUUGAAACUGUUGAACUAGAUUGCAGGAGAGGUAAGUGGAAUUCCUAGUGUAGCGGUGAAAUGCGUAGAUAUUAGGAGGAACACCAGUGGCGAAGGCGGCUUACUGGACUGUAAAUGACGCCGAGGCUCGAAAGCGUGGGGAGCAAACAGG
This 400-nucleotide ribosomal RNA is filed under the name uncultured bacterium. RNAcentral describes it as "bacterial SSU rRNA". It matches the Rfam family "Bacterial small subunit ribosomal RNA", at positions 362 to 776 of the family's 1533-position model. The record is from RNAcentral.